This 301-nucleotide ribosomal RNA is filed under the name uncultured bacterium. RNAcentral's name for it is "partial 16S ribosomal RNA". It matches the Rfam family "Bacterial small subunit ribosomal RNA", at positions 509 to 807 of the family's 1533-position model. The record is from RNAcentral.
CAGCAGCCGCGGUAAUACAGAGGGUGCAAGCGUUAAUCGGAAUUACUGGGCGUAAAGCGCGCGUAGGUGGUUUGUUAAGUUGGAUGUGAAAGCCCCGGGCUCAACCUGGGAACUGCAUCCAAAACUGGCAAGCUAGAGUACGGUAGAGGGUGGUGGAAUUUCCUGUGUAGCGGUGAAAUGCGUAGAUAUAGGAAGGAACACCAGUGGCGAAGGCGACCACCUGGACUGAUACUGACACUGAGGUGCGAAAGCCUGGGGAGCAAACAGGAUUAGAUACCCCAGUAGUCCCUGUCUCUUAUAC